UACGUAGGUGGCAAGCGUUGUCCGGAAUUAUUGGGCGUAAAGCGCGCGCAGGCGGUUUCUUAAGUCUGAUGUGAAAGCCCACGGCUCAACCGUGGACGGUCAUUGGAAACUGGGAGACUUGAGUACAGAAGAGGAGAGUGGAAUUCCACGUGUAGCGGUGAAAUGCGUAGAUAUGUGGAGGAACACCAGUGGCGAAGGCGGCUCUCUGGUCUGUAACUGACGCUGAGGCGCGAAGGUCAGGGGAGCAAACGGG
This 253-nucleotide ribosomal RNA is filed under the name uncultured bacterium. RNAcentral's name for it is "partial 16S ribosomal RNA". It matches the Rfam family "Bacterial small subunit ribosomal RNA", at positions 524 to 776 of the family's 1533-position model. The record is from RNAcentral.